UACGAAGGGGGCUAGCGUUGCUCGGAAUCACUGGGCGUAAAGCGCACGUAGGCGGCUUUUUAAGUCAGGGGUGAAAUCCUGGAGCUCAACUCCAGAACUGCCUUUGAUACUGGCGAUCUCGAGUCCGGGAGAGGUGAGUGGAACUGCGAGUGUAGAGGUGAAAUUCGUAGAUAUUCGCAAGAACACCAGUGGCGAAGGCGGCUCACUGGCCCGAUACUGACGCUGAGGUGCGAAAGCGUGGGGAGCAAACAGGG
This 254-nucleotide ribosomal RNA is filed under the name uncultured bacterium. Its description in RNAcentral is "partial 16S ribosomal RNA". It matches the Rfam family "Bacterial small subunit ribosomal RNA", at positions 524 to 777 of the family's 1533-position model. The record is from RNAcentral.